This is a long non-coding RNA of Rhodamnia argentea, 149 nucleotides long. RefSeq lists it as uncharacterized. The record is from RefSeq and is a predicted model, not a curated record. The transcript is spliced from 3 exons. Lineage: Eukaryota; Viridiplantae; Streptophyta; Magnoliopsida; Myrtales; Myrtaceae.
CAGCUUUGCACCUAAUAGUUUACCACUCUAAGACAUCAAAAAGUUUCUCAUACGGACAUACAUUAUCCAAAGAAGAGUGAGAUGUCAAUUCAACCUAUCCAGCUAUUUUACUUUAUUUCAGUCCUUACUGAAUUUUUCUAUAGAAAUUG